GUAGGUAUAGUUUCAACAAAAACAUUAGAUUGUGAUUCUAAAAACAGAGGUUAAAAUCCCCUUACCCACC
Molecule: transfer RNA, 70 nt
Filed under: Holacanthus ciliaris (queen angelfish)
Lineage: Eukaryota; Metazoa; Chordata; Actinopteri; Pomacanthidae
Also listed under: 3 other names
Description: tRNA-His
Rfam family: tRNA
About the family: Transfer RNA (tRNA) molecules are approximately 80 nucleotides in length.
Source: RNAcentral